This 274-nucleotide ribosomal RNA is filed under the name uncultured bacterium. Its description in RNAcentral is "partial 16S ribosomal RNA". It matches the Rfam family "Bacterial small subunit ribosomal RNA", at positions 523 to 796 of the family's 1533-position model. The record is from RNAcentral.
AUACGGAGGGUGCAAGCGUUAUUCGGAAUCACUGGGCGUAAAGGACGCGUAGGCGGGUUGGCAAGUCAGAUGUGAAAUCCUACAGCUUAACUGUAGAACUGCAUUUGAAACUGCUAACCUAGAGUAUGGGAGGGGGAGAUGGAAUUAGUGGUGUAGGGGUAAAAUCCGUAGAUAUCACUAGGAAUACCGAAAGCGAAGGCGAUCUCCUGGAACAUAACUGACGCUAAGGCGUGAAAGCGUGGGGAGCAAACAGGAUUAGAUACCCCAAUAGUCC